GGCUUGUUAGCUCAGUUCGUAGAGCACUGCACUUGCAUUGCAGGGGUCAUGGGUUCGAAUCCCGUACAGGCCU
This 73-nucleotide transfer RNA is filed under the name Stylophora pistillata. RNAcentral describes it as "tRNA-Ala". It matches the Rfam family "tRNA". From Rfam's summary of the family: Transfer RNA (tRNA) molecules are approximately 80 nucleotides in length. Their secondary structure includes four short double-helical elements and three loops (D, anti-codon, and T loops). Lineage: Eukaryota; Metazoa; Cnidaria; Anthozoa; Scleractinia; Pocilloporidae. The record is from Rfam by way of RNAcentral.